Molecule: long non-coding RNA, 941 nt
Organism: Carya illinoinensis
Lineage: Eukaryota; Viridiplantae; Streptophyta; Magnoliopsida; Fagales; Juglandaceae
Exons: 2
Source: RefSeq, a predicted model, not a curated record
AGGUCUCCCUGCGCGCCCUUAUAUACGGCUGCAGUAGUAGUGCUACACUACUACUUUAUGCUAUCUUUCUGCAUAAGCACACGAAGAAAAGAGAUUGACAAGGACAAAUCAUAUGGAUCUCCAAAUAAAUCUAACAUCAGAUCUAAAUAUCUUAACAACUUUAAACCCAAAAAGUAGACUCACGGCCGGGCAAGCACAAGCCGGCCUUCUAGCCACCACGAACGGUCAACCUCCAAACGACACCCAAAUAUGCACAUGAUAAUUCCGACCAAAAACCACACCACAGCCUGAUGAUCCAUCUUUACUUGUGACAGAUUCAACCCCAAAUCCAUCUUUAUAAACAUAUAUACGGUCGGACUUGAUCUAGCCACAGUACGAUAACCACACACAGUCCAUAGAAACCCCACAUCCAUAAAUUAAGCACACCGCCAAUACCUAGCCUGCACAUACCUGCCGCAGAAACCCUGCCAGAUCUGCCAGCUCGGAACUCCGCCACCCCCCCCCCCCCCUUCUCUCUCUUCUCUCCCUCCCCCCUUCCUUCCCACAAGCGGAACCACAGAUCUUCCACAGAAGAAAAUCUUCCUCAGAUUCGACAGGCAAGGAGAAAGCUUGUGUUUGGUUGCUUCGUGAAACCUGGGACAACAUUUAUAGACGAUUGGCGUAUUCUCCUUCGACCACAUCGAUGAGCACUGUUGGAUUUCCCAGGCGAAGAUGGCGACGUUUAGGUCAGGUUAGGCAACGGGGACCGCAACACGUUCCGUUCAUGAGCCUUUUCCCACGUGAUCAAGAUUUUCAGAAGAAUAUUAAUUGAUCAGUGACAUCUAGCUAGGUUUGAUUAUUUCUGUUUUGCAUUGUGGCGCAUUAUUAUUUUUAGUUAAAUGGGUUAUUCUUUGGAAGACCGGAUUUGCAGCAAUAUAUAUAAAAUUUCAUGAUCAGCUAUA